UACGUAGGGGGCAAGCGUUGUCCGGAUUUAUUGGGCGUAAAGAGCGUGUAGGCGGUUUGGUAGGUCCGUUGUGAAAACUCGAGGCUCAACCUCGAGACGCCGGCGGAAACCAUCAGGCUAGAGUCCGAAAGAGGAGAGUGGAAUUCCUGGUGUAGCGGUGAAAUGCGCAGAUAUCAGGAAGAACACCAGUGGCGAAGGCGGCUCACUGGCCCGGUACUGACGCUGAGGUGCGAAAGCGUGGGGAGCAAACAGG
RNAcentral lists this ribosomal RNA (253 nucleotides) under uncultured bacterium. RNAcentral's name for it is "partial 16S ribosomal RNA". It matches the Rfam family "Bacterial small subunit ribosomal RNA", at positions 524 to 776 of the family's 1533-position model. The record is from RNAcentral.